UUCCGUAGGUGAACCUGCGGAAGGAUCAUUACCGAGAUUAGGGUCCUUCAGGGCCCGACCCUCCUACCCUUUGUGUAUUUACCUCUGUUGCUUCGGUGGAUCCCGGUGUCGCGGUGCUGGCCUCGCCUUAUCCCGUCCCCGGUCCGCCGAGGGGCCUUUCCAUUCUGAAUUACCGACGUCUGAGUAAAAUAAAGCAAGUAGACUAAAACUUUCAACAACGGAUCUCUUGGUUCUGGCAUCGAUGAAGAACGCAGCGAAAUGCGAUAAGUAAUGUGAAUUGCAGAAUUCAGUGAAUCAUCGAAUCUUUGAACGCACAUUGCGCCCUCUGGUAUUCCGGGGGGCAUACCUGUUCGAGCGUCAUUACGCCUCUCAAGCUCAGCUUGGUAUUGGGCCGCCGUCCUCUGCGGACGGGCCUGAAAAUCAGUGGCCGUGCAACCGGUGCUCAAGCGUAGUGAAAAUUUUAUCCCGCUUUGGAGCCACCGGGUGGACCCGCCAGACAACCCACUAUCAUUUUCCACGGUUGACCUCGGAUCAGGUAGGGAUACCCGCUGAACUUAAGCAUAUCAAUAA
This 570-nucleotide ribosomal RNA is filed under the name Circinaria contorta. RNAcentral describes it as "eukaryotic LSU rRNA". The stretch from base 207 to 360 matches the Rfam family "5.8S ribosomal RNA". Lineage: Eukaryota; Fungi; Ascomycota; Lecanoromycetes; Pertusariales; Megasporaceae. The record is from RNAcentral.